CGAAACCGCGAAUGGCACAUUAAAUCAGUUAUGGUUCACUAGAUCGUACAGUUUACAUGGAUAACUGUGGUAAUUCUAGAGCUAAUACAUGCACCCAGUCCGUUCCCUCGUGGAGCGGAUGCAGUUAUUUGCCCAAAACCAAUCCGGCCUUCGGGUCGGUCAAUUGGUGACUCUGAAUAACCGAAGCGGAGCGCAUGGUCUCGUACCGGCGCCAGAUCUUUCAAGUGUCUGACUUAUCAGCUUGUUGUUAGGUUAUGUUCCUAACAAGGCAUCAACGGGUAACGGAGUGUCAGGGCCCGACACCGGAGAGGGAGCCUGAGAAACGGCUACCACAUCCAAGGAAGGCAGCAGGCGCGCAAAUUACCCACUCCCGGCACGGGGAGGUAGUGACGAAAAAUAACG
RNAcentral lists this ribosomal RNA (402 nucleotides) under uncultured eukaryote. Its description in RNAcentral is "SSU rRNA". It matches the Rfam family "Eukaryotic small subunit ribosomal RNA", at positions 82 to 482 of the family's 1831-position model. The record is from RNAcentral.